RNAcentral lists this long non-coding RNA (682 nucleotides) under Homo sapiens (human). RNAcentral's name for it is "HSALNT0402263". The record is from RNAcentral. Lineage: Eukaryota; Metazoa; Chordata; Mammalia; Primates; Hominidae.
CACGCACACACAGGUACACAUAGAUAUACACGCAUAGCCCUUGUGAACAGGCUGGGGCUUGGUUCUCCUUCCUACCUCCGUAAACAUUAAUUAUGCAGCAAUCAAAAUAAUUUUGCAUGCAUAAUGCUGACCUCAUUCACUAGAGGGCAACAAAACCCCAGCUUAAGGAACUUCACCUUCUGCUUCCAGUGACAGGAAGCAUUUAAUAAGAUGCCACAUAGAUUUUAUAAUGAAUACCCUAUUAAUUUUACAUAAGUGUGAAGUUAUAUUUGAAAAUCCAGUUAUGCUCCUGAAUAGACGUGAUCUGGCCUUCACAACAUGUGGAAACCACCACCGAGGACUGGCCCAGAUAGAAGUGGCGUGGCAUGGCGCCUCUCCUUCCAAUCCGCUGGGCAACAACGUGGCCCAUCGGUGCUGAAGUUUUUAACAAUCUCCUUUGAAAUGUAACUCAUUAUACAAAAGCAGAACUAAAUAAAAAAUACUCCAGAGAGGGAACAGAUUGUUAGCUAUAGAUUAGAAGUGUAGCCUAAUCCUUCACAAGCAUUAAAUAUUUAACAUCAUUGCACCACAGGUGCCAAGAAGAUGUCAGCAUUGUUUAAUUAGACUUAAUUAAACAUAAGGAAAAAUCUAAUACUAACGCAGGUCGAGUUUUUUAAUCGAUUUCAAAACCUCCCCCUUCGCG